AUGCUCGUUGAUGGCGGUGCAGGUGUUAAUAUUAUGCCCUUUUCGGUAUUUUCUAAACUGAACCGAAAAGAGAGCGAGUUAAUGAAGACCAACAUGGGACUUAGUGGGUUCUCAGGAGAAUUGUCCGACGCUAAGGUUAAUGAUGAUGUCGAGGUGAUUGAGGCAGACAAUUCUUCUUGCAUUGCUUUGACUGAGGCGCCGGUUGAUUGGCAACACGGUGACAUGCGAUGUUUGACCGGUAGGGAUUUAUCGGAUUAUGAUUAUAUCAGUAUAGGUAGAGAUGGUUUUGUACCUAUAAAUGCACAGCCGGCUGACAUAGCUCGGUUUAAUGAUUUAUCUAUAUAA
RNAcentral lists this ribosomal RNA (345 nucleotides) under Triticum aestivum (bread wheat). RNAcentral describes it as "partial small subunit ribosomal RNA". Lineage: Eukaryota; Viridiplantae; Streptophyta; Magnoliopsida; Poales; Poaceae. The record is from RNAcentral.